This 201-nucleotide long non-coding RNA is filed under the name Lathyrus oleraceus (garden pea). RNAcentral's name for it is "Pisum sativum (pea) long non-coding RNA (PSAT_LNC004251)". Lineage: Eukaryota; Viridiplantae; Streptophyta; Magnoliopsida; Fabales; Fabaceae. The record is from RNAcentral.
UUUUUAAUGUUUUUCAGUUAUUUAUUUAAUUUAAAAUUUAAUUGUAUACAUAUAUUUUUUAAAGAGUAAUUUUAUAAUUUAAAUUUUAUCACAUCACUUUCUCAACCUCACUUUUUUUUGGAUAUGAAACAUUGAAGAACAAUUUAGUUUGGUUUCCCUAUUAUUUAGUUGCCUUUUGGCAUAGAUUUAUGGAUACACAAA